This 1954-nucleotide unclassified non-coding RNA is filed under the name Hevea brasiliensis (rubber tree). Lineage: Eukaryota; Viridiplantae; Streptophyta; Magnoliopsida; Malpighiales; Euphorbiaceae. The record is from RNAcentral.
CAAGGAAACAAAUUUAUGAAAUGCAUAUACAACCCAACAAUUAGGAUUUAAGUUUAAGAAAUGCAUCAAGAGUGGCGAAGAGUAAAAAUGAAAACCUGCAAUUGGCAGCAAGUUCAUCAGUGGAGAAACCCUCACACGAAGAAAGCACCAGAACCUUGAAAUUCUUAAAUGACUUAGCAAUCAGCUCCAAAAACUCAUAUGUAAAAAGUACAAAAUAAUUUUUCACAUUAUAGGAUGUACAGAAGGAAAAGUAACAAUAGUGGAAAAAUUAGUAAUAACUAAAAUAAAAGAGACGAAAUAUUUUAUCUUGCACAGUACAUAUUCCUAAACCAUUGAGAAAAAAAUUUGCAUUGAUGACCAUGAUAAAAGCCAGGGGAAAUGAAACAUGCUCAUGUUUUGAAAUUCAAGCUAGAAAAGAAAACCUAAUGCUGGAUGCCUCCUUGGACAAUGUCUACAUGAAGAAUUAGCACCUUCUCCCACAGCACUUCCCCUCCUUUGCUUUGACCCAGAUAUUUUAUUGAGGCCAACCGGGUCACCAACACAAUCUCUUAUGCCUUGUCUCACACUCUAGAUCACUCAAUUCUCAGCCAAUGGAUUAGAAGUUAACAAUUUAGAAUUAAGAACCAAAAUUGCUACAACAGAAAAUAAGCUAGUUCAGCAAAAUAAUAAUAAUAAUAAUAAGCUAAACGAAGAAACAAAGUGUACAUAAGAGUAUUACGAAGACCAUAUUCAUAUGUACCAUCAGGAUCUGAAGCAGAUGUCCCCAUCAAAUACCAAUCACUACAUACCAAGGAUUCAAUAAAACAAAGCAAUAAAAUAAAAGGAUUGAUUUCGUUUUGACAUCUGUGUUCAUUUUUCCAACGAUCAAUUUAUUGUUAUAGCCAAGUAAUGAUCCUCGAGAACAAAAUUGAAAUCAAGCAACAGCAAUGUGGAGUUUGGCCUUAUAAUCACUACAACCAAUAAACACGUCAGGUACAGUCCUUAGUCCAGUCCAGUCCACUCUGCUAAAGCUGAUUGAAUUUCAGCUCCAUCACCUUUAAAAAAAGAGAAAUUUGAUUUAAAAUGCAGAAUUUUUUAGCUCAAAAAACAGUUUUAGAUCAGGCAAAGAGGUCUUAUACUCUUACUUUCCUCAUCCAGUUCAAUGACCUUGAAACCUGCUCCUAACUGUGUCAGCAGCUGCUUGAACCUAUUGCAAUAACCACAGUAUGUUUUUUAUUGUAAACAAAAAAACGAAGACAUUAAACGACGACUGGAACAAAAGUGGAGAUCGAUUUGGCUUUAUUAAGUGCCAUUUCAAUUUCUCAAUAAGAAAAGACAACAUAUAGCCAAUUAUCAAAUUUCAAAAUAGAAAGAGAAAUGGCAUUUCUGAUUAGCAUUAACAUACCUCAGUCAUAUCUAAGAUCAGAGAUUCGACAAAGAUGAUUUUGAUUUAAUUGCAAAAGAGUUGGGAAAUUAACUGUUCAAUUUCAAAUUUUGAUGAUUAAAACCACGAAUUGACUUUCCUUGGGAAAAUGGUUUUCCAUUUUCAGAUUUAUAUUUAAUACCAGUCUCUGCAAAAGAGAUCCCAGAUACAAUAAUCCAUAUGGAAAGAGGGAAAAAAACACAUUAAAAAACGCAAAAAAAUAUGAUUUGCAAAUCUGAUUUCUCAACAUGUUAGUGACCCAACUUUCUGCAGAUCCUGAAAAAGCAAUGGAUGUCAUCUGGAGCUGACUAUGCUUUAGUGAGGCAUAAACGACGGAAGUUGCAGUUGAUUAGUCCGUGGUGAACCCAGGCCUAUCUUUGGCUGCGGGCCACCCCACGCUGUCGGAUUGGUACCACUGGGUUCUCCGGACCUGAUGAAGGGAGCGACGGCGGCGGAAUGGCGGUAUGAUGCUCGGAAGGCGGUGAGACGGCGCUGGAUAUGUUUAUUUCUUUCAGAAGAUUAGGGUGAGAAGCUGGAGGAAAACACAAAAAC